Molecule: ribosomal RNA, 420 nt
Filed under: Fusobacteriota bacterium
Lineage: Bacteria; Fusobacteriati; Fusobacteriota
Description: Fusobacteria bacterium partial 16S ribosomal RNA
Rfam family: Bacterial small subunit ribosomal RNA
Source: RNAcentral
UGGGGGAUAAUGCACAAUGGGCGAAAGCCUGAUGCAGCGACGCCGCGUGGGGGAUGAAGGCCUUCGGGUUGUAAACUUCUUUUGCUCUGAACAAGGCAUGCCUUUGGGGUGUGUUGAGUGUAGGGGUUGAUUAGCGCCGGCUAACUACGUGCCAGCAGCCGCGGUAAUACGUAGGGCGCGAGCGUUGUCCGGAAUUAUUGGGCGUAAAGGGCUUGUAGGUGGCUGGUUGCGUCUGUCGUGAAAGCUCAUGGCUUAACUGUGGGUUUGCGGUGGGUACGGGCUGGCUUGAGUGCAGUAGGGGAGGCUGGAAUUCCUGGUGUAGCGGUGGAAUGCGCAGAUAUCAGGAGGAAUACCGGUGGCGAAGGCGGGUCUCUGGGCUGUUACUGACGCUGAGGAGCGAAAGCGUGGGGAGCGAACAGG